This 268-nucleotide unclassified non-coding RNA is filed under the name fungal sp. Its description in RNAcentral is "partial internal transcribed spacer region". The stretch from base 1 to 46 matches the Rfam family "Eukaryotic small subunit ribosomal RNA", at positions 1786 to 1831 of the family's 1831-position model. Lineage: Eukaryota; Fungi. The record is from RNAcentral.
AAGUCGUAACAAGGUCUCCGUAGGUGAACCUGCGGAGGGAUCAUUAACACGUGUAAAAACGUAUUAUAUACCCAUUUACCAACCAAUACCGUGAACUAUGUUUGAAACAACAUUUUUUAUUUUUCUUUGCUGUUACCGUCACUGGUUAUAGUGAAGAAAUGCAACCCUUUUCCAAUCUAAAUUUCUUUUUUUCUUUGUUAUUUUAACAGUAACAACAUAAAAAAUAAAAAUAAAAGCACAACUCUUAGCAACGGAUAUCUUGGUUCUC